ACUACGGGUGGCAGCAGUGGGGAAUAUUGCGCAAUGGGCGAAAGCCUGACGCAGCGACGCCGCGUGAGGGAUGAAGGUCUUCGGAUCGUAAACCUCUGUCAGCAGGGAAGAACGGUCACUGUGCUAAUCAGCAGUGAAUUGACGGUACCUGCAAAGGAAGCACCGGCUAACUCCGUGCCAGCAGCCGCGGUAACACGGAGGGUGCGAGCGUUAAUCGGAAUUACUGGGCGUAAAGCGCUCGUAGGCGGUAUGUCAUGUCAAGGGUGAAAUCCCCGCGCUGAACGUGGGAACUGCCUUUGAUACUGGCAAACUGGAGUGUGUGAGAGGAGAGUGGAAUUCCAGGUGUAGGAGUGAAAUCCGUAGAUAUCGGGAGGAACAUCAGUGGCGAAGGCGACUAUCUGGCACAUAACUGACGCUGAGGAGCGAAAGCGUGGGUAGCAAACAGGAUUAGAUACCCUGGUAGUC
Molecule: ribosomal RNA, 465 nt
Filed under: uncultured bacterium
Lineage: Bacteria
Description: partial 16S ribosomal RNA
Rfam family: Bacterial small subunit ribosomal RNA
Source: RNAcentral